This 484-nucleotide ribosomal RNA is filed under the name uncultured bacterium. RNAcentral's name for it is "partial 16S ribosomal RNA". It matches the Rfam family "Bacterial small subunit ribosomal RNA", at positions 30 to 507 of the family's 1533-position model. The record is from RNAcentral.
AUUGAACGCUGGCGGCAGGCCUAACACAUGCAGGUCGAGCGGAUGAAGGGAGCUUGCUCCUGGAUUCAGCGGCGGACGGGUGAGUAAUGCCUAGGAAUCUGCCUGGUAGUGGGGGAUAACGUCCGGAAACGGGCGCUAAUACCGCAUACGUCCUGAGGGAGAAAGUGGGGGAUCUUCGGACCUCACGCUAUCAGAUGAGCCUAGGUCGGAUUAGCUAGUUGGUGGGGUAAAGGCCUACCAAGGCGACGAUCCGUAACUGGUCUGAGAGGAUGAUCAGUCACACUGGAACUGAGACACGGUCCAGACUCCUACGGGAGGCAGCAGUGGGGAAUAUUGGACAAUGGACGAAAGCCUGAUCCAGCCAUGCCGCGUGUGUGAAGAAGGUCUUCGGAUUGUAAAGCACUUUAAGUUGGGAGGAAGGGCAGUAAGUUAAUACCUUGCUGUUUUGACGUUACCAACAGAAUAAGCACCGGCUAACUUCGUG